RNAcentral lists this ribosomal RNA (442 nucleotides) under uncultured prokaryote. Its description in RNAcentral is "bacterial SSU rRNA". It matches the Rfam family "Bacterial small subunit ribosomal RNA", at positions 20 to 443 of the family's 1533-position model. The record is from RNAcentral.
UGGCUCAGGACGAACGCUGGCGGCGUGCCUAAUACAUGCAAGUCGAGCGGACGAAUUUAUUGGUGCUUGCACCUUUAAUUUUCGUUAGCGGCGGACGGGUCAGUAACACGUGGGUAACCUACCUUAUAGAUUGGGAUAACUCCGGGAAACCGGGGCUAAUACCGAAUAACACUUUUUAACACAUGUUUGGAAGUUGAAAGACGGUUUCGGCUGUCACUAUAAGAUGGACCCGCGGCGCAUUAGCUAGUUGGUGAGGUAAUGGCUCACCAAGGCAACGAUGCGUAGCCGACCUGAGAGGGUGAUCGGCCACACUGGGACUGAGACACGGCCCAGACUCCUACGGGAGGCGGCAGUAGGGAAUCUUCCACAAUGGACGAAAGUCUGAUGGAGCAACGCCGCGUGAGUGAAGAAGGAUCUCGGUUCGUAAAACUCUGUUGCAAGG